Daphnia pulicaria is the source of this 580-nucleotide long non-coding RNA. RefSeq lists it as uncharacterized. The transcript has 3 exons. The record is from RefSeq and is a predicted model, not a curated record. NCBI's taxonomy places the organism in Eukaryota, Metazoa, Arthropoda, Branchiopoda, Diplostraca, Daphniidae.
CCCAUCAUAUUGUCAAAAGCCUAAAACUCAUGUGUGAAGCCCACAUAUUGUGGAAUACAAAUGUGCGGAGAUAAGGUAUUUCCACAUUACUGCUACCACACCAACCACACCACGUCAAAUGCCUUACUCAAUUCAGCACCAUUCACCCAUAUGAUAAAGCAUCAGGAAAUUUACCUCAACCUGAGGAGUAAGGCUGUUGGUUGCUGUGAUUUCCAUUUUCUAGGUUUUUUAUCAUGAAAACUUCAGUGUGCUUGUUAGUAUAGCACAUAAUAGAUCCUUAAGCCAAUGCUGACCUUUGUCCCUGAAGGAAGAGGUACAUCCAGCAACGUUCUGCUCCAUCCUUAUUUUCCCGACGUACGCUCAUCUAACUUCACUGCUUUUGCUGCUACAACUUGUCUUACUUCACCGACGAGUUAGAACACUUCAGUGGACGCUACCCUUUGCUGUUACACACCUGCAGUUACUCACCACGGGAUUAUGCCCAGGUACCCAACAAUUGACUUAUAUUCUUAGGUUAUCUACCAAUAGUCUAGUUGCGUUAAAGUCUGUGUAUGUGUAAUAAUUCCAAAAUCAGGCCCUU